RNAcentral lists this ribosomal RNA (253 nucleotides) under uncultured bacterium. RNAcentral's name for it is "partial 16S ribosomal RNA". It matches the Rfam family "Bacterial small subunit ribosomal RNA", at positions 524 to 776 of the family's 1533-position model. The record is from RNAcentral.
GACGAACCGAGCGAACGUUAUUCGGAAUCACUGGGCUUAAAGGGCGCGUAGGCGGGUCGGCAAGUCAGGGGUGAAAUCCCACGGCUCAACCGUGGAAGUGCCUUUGAUACUGCUGAUCUCGAGGGAGGUAGGGGCGUGCGGAACUUCCGGUGGAGCGGUGAAAUGCGUAGAUAUCGGAAGGAACACCGGUGGCGAAAGCGGCGCGCUGGACCUCUUCUGACGCUGAGGCGCGAAAGCCAGGGGAGCAAACGGG